GAGGUCUGAGAAGCUUGUCUUUUCCUGCGCAUGCCCUCUUCCAACUCACGGACCGACUUCCUUCUUUGUGGGAGCUUCAUUUUUAGAGCCAUUUUCACCACCAGAGCAAGCAAGGAGACUUGGGAGAUCAAAUGUGUGAGGAGAUAGAGGGUUAUUAGGGGAUGGAUAGGGAUUUUUGGAGAAGAAAAACCUCGAUUUGGAGGAGAAGGGUAGG
RNAcentral lists this long non-coding RNA (214 nucleotides) under Elaeis guineensis (African oil palm). RNAcentral's name for it is "long non-coding RNA (EGUI_LNC033906)". The record is from RNAcentral. Lineage: Eukaryota; Viridiplantae; Streptophyta; Magnoliopsida; Arecales; Arecaceae.